This is a small nucleolar RNA of Choloepus hoffmanni (Hoffmann's two-fingered sloth), 122 nucleotides long. NCBI's taxonomy places the organism in Eukaryota, Metazoa, Chordata, Mammalia, Pilosa, Megalonychidae. The record is from Ensembl.
CUCCGUGUGUCUUCGGAACCUGUCGCUGUGGCAGUCUCCACUCCUAGCCAUGUAUUUCUGUUUAUUGGUAAAGCCGUCACCAUUUAAUUGAUACCAUAUUCUGACUUGCACAAGUAACAUUC